UACAGAGGGGGCGAGCGUUGUUCGGAAUUACUGGGCGUAAAGGGCGCGUAGGCGGCCUGCUAUGUCGAACGUGAAAUCCCCGGGCUCAACCCGGGAACUGCGUCCGAAAUUGGCAGGCUUGAAUCCGGGAGAGGGAUGUGGAAUUCCAGGUGUAGCGGUGAAAUGCGUAGAUAUCUGGAGGAACACCGGUGGCGAAGGCGGCAUCCUGGACCGGUAUUGACGCUGAGGCGCGAAAGCCAGGGGAGCAAACGGG
This 253-nucleotide ribosomal RNA is filed under the name uncultured bacterium. RNAcentral's name for it is "partial 16S ribosomal RNA". It matches the Rfam family "Bacterial small subunit ribosomal RNA", at positions 524 to 776 of the family's 1533-position model. The record is from RNAcentral.